Zingiber officinale is the source of this 302-nucleotide long non-coding RNA. RefSeq lists it as uncharacterized. NCBI's taxonomy places the organism in Eukaryota, Viridiplantae, Streptophyta, Magnoliopsida, Zingiberales, Zingiberaceae. The transcript has 3 exons. The record is from RefSeq and is a predicted model, not a curated record.
UCUGGACCGGAGUAGCCUGUGCCCUAGUUAUUUUCCCCUUGCCACGGCUACUGCCGCCGCAGAUCAGCAGGCACACUCCAGCAACGUUGGUGUUCUCUCGUGCCCUAAAUCCUCAGUUCUCUAUUCCAGUGAGUUACUGGAUGAAGGCACCUAGUUGGUUCCGGAUAUCACAGCAUUAAUAGUUGUUGCUGACCCUGCUUAAUUCCGACCAGCAGCACCCCAUUGUUCCAGAAAUCAAUAAGGCUGAGAAAUAAGGACUUUGACGCGAGACGAGUAUCUCGGAGUCAGACUUGGACCUUUUC